GGAGAGGUGUCCGAGUGGUCGAAGGAGGCGGUCUUGAAAACCGUUGAGCCGCUCCGCGGUUCCGGGGGUUCGAAUCCCUCCCUCUCCG
Molecule: transfer RNA, 88 nt
Filed under: Acidobacteriota bacterium
Lineage: Bacteria; Pseudomonadati; Acidobacteriota
Also listed under: 2 other names
Description: Acidobacteria bacterium (permafrost metagenome) tRNA-Ser
Rfam family: tRNA
About the family: Transfer RNA (tRNA) molecules are approximately 80 nucleotides in length.
Source: RNAcentral